UUAAUGCUCCCCGAUUCGUGUGGUACUCUUGCUUCGGCGGGUUUCGUUGGCGAAUCCCAGCAGGCGCGGCACCGCUUGUCCGCUCGCUGGUUGGGCUCGCUUCCCCCAUCCGCAGCUGUUUCAGGACUCGAUUCGAGCCCUCCAUCGCUGUCCAUGGCGGCCUCGACGCCGGCGGCGGGCGUGGAAUCGAAAAUCCGCAUCCCGGGAUUCCAGGGGCUCCAAUCGUCCGUAUUGGUUCCUCUCGGGAGGGAAGUCGGUCCUUUUCCAAUCGGACGCUCUUCGAGGUCUUCCUCCGUUAUCAGAGCCGUCUCCACGGUGAGACCGCGUAUAAAGCCGGAUAAUACUGAAGUAAAGCGGAGCAAGGUUGAGUUGUUUAAGGAGCAAAGCAACUUCCUUAGGUUUCCUUUAAAUGAGGAAUUGCGCUCAGAAGCUCCAAAUAUAAAUGAAGCUGCCACUCAGCUAAUCAAGUUUCAUGGGAGUUAUCAACAGACAAAUAGAGAUGAACGUGGUGCAAAGUCCUACCAGUUUAUGCUCCGUACUAAGAAUCCUUGUGGGAAAGUCCCAAACAAGCUCUACUUGGUUAUGGAUGACCUGGCUGAUGAGUUUGGAAUUGGUACUCUCCGUUUGACCACUAGGCAGACAUUUCAAUUGCAUGGGAUCCUGAAGAAAAACCUACAAACUGUGAUGAGUACUAUUAUUAAGAACAUGGGAUCAACACUUGGUGCAUGUGGCGAUCUUAAUAGGAAUGUAUUAGCCCCUGCAGCACCAUUUGUGAAAAAAGAGUAUGUUUUUGCACAGGUGACUGCAGAAAACAUUGCUGCUCUAUUGACACCUCAAUCUGGAGCAUAUUACGAUUUGUGGGUAAAUGGAGGGAAAAUUUUGUCAGCAGAGCAUCCAGAAGUAGUGAAAGCCCGCAAUGAUAAUUCUCAUGGAACCAACUUCACUGACUCACCUGAGCCCAUUUAUGGCAGCCAAUUCUUGCCUCGAAAGUUUAAGAUUGCUGUGACUGUACCAACAGACAACUCAGUGGAUAUCCUCACCAAUGAUAUUGGUGUUGUACUAGUUUCUAGUGACGAUGGAGAACCUCAAGGCUUUAACAUCUAUGUGGGAGGAGGUAUGGGAAGGACUCAUCGAGUUGGGACAACUUUUCCUCGUUUGGGAGAACCACUAGGCUUUGUCGCCAAAGAAGAUAUUUUAUAUGCUAUAAAAGCUAUUGUUGUUACUCAAAGAGAAAAUGGGAGGAGGGAUGAUAGGAAGUAUAGUCGAAUGAAAUAUUUGAUUAGCACGUGGGGCAUUGAGAAGUUCCGCAGUGUUGUUGAACACUAUUAUGGUAAGAAGUUUGAAAAAUUCAGAGAAUUACCUGAGUGGGAAUUCAAGAGUUACCUUGGAUGGCAUGAACAGGGUGAUGGUGCAAUGUUUUGUGGACUGCAUAUCGAUAAUGGGCGUAUAGGCGGGAAAAUGAAACAAACUUUACGAGAAAUAAUUGAGAAGUAUAAACUGAAUGUCCGAAUUACACCAAACCAGAAUUUGAUCUUGUGUGAUAUUAGACGUUCCUGGAGAAGACCUAUCACCACAGCUCUUGCCCAAGCAGGUUUACUGUUGCCCAGAUACGUUGAUCCUCUUAAUAUAACUUCCAUGGCUUGCCCUGCUCUACCACUAUGUCCGCUUGCAAUAACAGAAGCUGAGAGAGGGAUUCCAGAAAUUCUCAAACGGGUUCGAGCUGUUUUUGAUAAGGUUGGCCUCAAAUACAAUGAGUCCGUAGUGAUAAGAGUGACUGGAUGUCCCAAUGGCUGUGCCAGACCCUACAUGGCUGAACUUGGACUUGUUGGGGAUGGCCCCAACAGCUACCAGAUCUGGCUAGGGGGAGCACCUAACCAGACUACACUGGCAAAGAGCUUUAUGGAUAAGGUGAAGGUCCAUGACUUAGAGAAGGUAUUCGAACCCCUGUUUUACUACUGGAAAACAAAACGGCUCCGUGGUGAAUCAUUUGGCAACUUUUCAGUUAGGAUGGGCUUUGAGAAAUUACAGAAGCUGGUAGAGAGGUGGGAAGGCCCUGUGGAGCCAGCAUCAAGAUUCAACCUAAAACUCUUCGCAGACCGGCAGACAUUUGAGGCGAUGGCAGAGCUUGCAAAGCAGCAGAACAAAUCGGCUCACCAGCUCGCCAUGGAGGUCAUUCGCAACUAUGUUGCUGCCCAGGGCAAUGAAUCAGAUGGACACUGAACAUCAUCUAAGUGUCUUCUAAUGGCUAUGAUAUUUCAAGUAAUCAGAUGGGCACUGCCCAGGGCAAAUCGACGCUGGUACUAGCAAAGGCAAUGUAACAACCUGUCUCUUGCUAGCUGUGUUCAUGUAAAAAAGUCAAUCACAAAUUGGCUCAGUGCUUACCCCUGUAAAACCCCAAAUUGUGCUUUAAUUUUAAGCUUGGUAUCUGAAUGACUGCAGCCAUGUGCCAAAUGCUCUUUUCGGUUAGUUUUGUUUAUGAAUCAUACACCAACUGUUUAAGAUUAUUUGCAAUUGUCUAUCCUUCAAUUGGGCUCUAUGCAUAGUUCAAUCACUAA
Molecule: RNA transcript, 2555 nt
Organism: Zingiber officinale
Lineage: Eukaryota; Viridiplantae; Streptophyta; Magnoliopsida; Zingiberales; Zingiberaceae
Gene name: sulfite reductase [ferredoxin], chloroplastic-like
Exons: 9
Source: RefSeq, a predicted model, not a curated record